UCUAACUACCUGUUAGUGUGGCUGGUGAGAGACCAGGGAAGCAGGGUCUGCCUAACAUCUGGUGGGAAAGACAAAUGUGCAGUGUCUACUGCCUGUUUACAGGUGGACACACUACAGUGUCCUGGUGUCAGUGUAGGUAUCUGGUGGGAAAGACAAAUGUGCAGUGUCUACUGCCUGUUUACAGGUGGACACACUACAGUGUCCUGGUGUCAGUGUAGGUAUCUGGUGGGAAAGACAAAUGUGCAGUGUCUACUGCCUGUUUACAGGUGGACACACUACAGUGUCCUGGUGUCAGUGUAGGUAUCUGGUGGGAAAGACAAAUGUGCAGUGUCUACUGCCUGUUUACAGGUGGACACACUACAGUGUCCUGGUGUCAGUGUAGGUAUCUGGUGGGAAAGACAAAUGUGCAGUGUCUACUGCCUGUUUACAGGUGGACACACUACAGUGUCCUGGUGUCAGUCAGCCCAAUCAAAGUACCAUCCUGUGGACCAAAAUUAUCAACUCACCUGCUCCGUAGAACCAAGAUGGCCAUCUUUUGAUGUGGAGAACAUGCAGUGGGUCAUCAUCAGGGAGUGUAGAGACUGAUAAAACUUGGGUCACCAUCUUCUGUGUACUGUAGGACUCAGGUCAUCAUCUCCUGUGUACUGGUAAUAAGGAUGGAGCAGCCCUUAUACGAACCCACAACAUUUGAUGUGGCUAACAGUGCUAGACAUGUAAAUUGACUAUCAACAUCACAGAAAGUACAUGCACAAUAAAUUGUAUUUGUAUAUGCA
Long non-coding RNA from Pecten maximus, 773 nucleotides. RefSeq lists it as uncharacterized. The transcript has 3 exons. The record is from RefSeq and is a predicted model, not a curated record. NCBI's taxonomy places the organism in Eukaryota, Metazoa, Mollusca, Bivalvia, Pectinida, Pectinidae.